CAGAGGUUUUCACACUAUUUGUAAGAGAAGUCACCUGACUUUGGGAAAGGUAGACUUUUUCUUUAGGCUCUAAAAUUUAGCCAAAGCAGAUUCAAGCUUAGCAGCCUUCACAGUGCAUUGCCCUUUUACAGCCUCUGCCUCAACUUUAGCUUUCUUCCUUUUCUCCUCAGCCUUUGUAGAUUUGUCCACAAACUCUCAGUUUCGCCUCUGAAAAUCCUUAAAACAGGCUUCAGCCUUAAUGGCCAUUUCAAAAGCACUCUCACUUUGGCUCACCAGUGUUGCUAAAAGGUUCACAGCGUCAGUAAUUUCCACAAAGUUUUACCUCCUAUCAGUCCAGUACCUAUAGUAGGAAACAGUGGCAGUUUGGACUUUCAGAGGCAGCAGCGAUAACACCUCAGGGAUGAGUUCAUCAUUUUUUCCUUCAAGAGGAUGGCAGUGCUAGCAGAGGAGACGUCAUUAGUAGAAGGUCAGUUCUUUUCUAAGUUUUCUCUAUCCAGCUUUUCCCCCCUGGCCUCUCAGACCCCCUCUUGUCACAGCAAAGGAGAUAGCCAUUAACUUGGGAUAUAGGGAGGCAGGCUGCCAGUAAACCCUACAGAACCUCCUACUCCGAUAGAGGAAGAGAAUAAAUAUGUCUUCUUCUAGGGCAUAUCUACCACUUUUCCUUUGCCCAUAUCAUUAGGAGUGUCUUCUUUUCGAAGUCCUUUUCAACACUGUCCUUG
Molecule: long non-coding RNA, 719 nt
Filed under: Olea europaea subsp. europaea
Lineage: Eukaryota; Viridiplantae; Streptophyta; Magnoliopsida; Lamiales; Oleaceae
Source: RNAcentral